GUAGAUCUCAGUUCCAGACGGGUGGUCCCCAUACCGGUGGUUACUGCCUGUUCUGAACAGCCAGCCGGUUUCCUUUGAUGAUCUUCACCGGUUGUCUUGGGUGACCGACAAGUUUACUUUGAAAAAAUUAGAGUGCUCAAAGCAGGCGUGCCGCCUGAAUAAUGGUGCAUAGAAUAAUGGAAUAGGACCUCGGUUCUAUUUUAUUGGUUUUCAGAAUACGAGUUAAUGAUUAAGAGGGACAGACGGGGGCAUUCGUAUUGCGACGCUAGAGGAGAAAUUCUUGGACCGUCGCAAGUGGUGUUCCUCAAGGAUAAACAAACAACCAUGAUAUACCUAGAUAU
Molecule: non-coding RNA, 341 nt
Filed under: Stegodyphus mimosarum
Lineage: Eukaryota; Metazoa; Arthropoda; Arachnida; Araneae; Eresidae
Description: eukaryotic small subunit ribosomal RNA
Rfam family: Eukaryotic small subunit ribosomal RNA
Source: Rfam by way of RNAcentral